CCAAAAGCGGAGGAAAAGAAACCAACAGGGAUUGCCUUAGUAACGGCGAGUGAAGCGGCAAAAGCUCAAAUUUGAAAUCUGGCACCUUCGGUGUCCGAGUUGUAAUUUGAAGAAGGUAACUUUGGAGUUGGCUCUUGUCUAUGUUCCUUGGAACAGGACGUCACAGAGGGUGAGAAUCCCGUGCGAUGAGAUGCCCAAUUCUAUGUAAAGUGCUUUCGAAGAGUCGAGUUGUUUGGGAAUGCAGCUCUAAGUGGGUGGUAAAUUCCAUCUAAAGCUAAAUAUUGGCGAGAGACCGAUAGCGAACAAGUACAGUGAUGGAAAGAUGAAAAGAACUUUGAAAAGAGAGUGAAAAAGUACGUGAAAUUGUUGAAAGGGAAGGGCUUGAGAUCAGACUUGGUAUUUUGCGAUCCUUUCCUUCUUGGUUGGGUUCCUCGCAGCUUACUGGGCCAGCAUCGGUUUGGAUGGUAGGAUAAUGACUAAGGAAUGUGGCUCUACUUCGGUGGAGUGUUAUAGCCUUGGUUGAUACUGCCUGUCUAGACCGAGGACUGCGUCUUUUGACUAGGAUGUUGGCAUAAUGAUCUUAAGCCACCCGUCUUGAAA
Molecule: ribosomal RNA, 600 nt
Filed under: Debaryomyces hansenii
Lineage: Eukaryota; Fungi; Ascomycota; Pichiomycetes; Serinales; Debaryomycetaceae
Description: eukaryotic LSU rRNA
Rfam family: Eukaryotic large subunit ribosomal RNA
Source: RNAcentral